AUUGAACGCUGGCGGCAUGCUUUACACAUGCAAGUCGAACGGCAGCACGGGUGCUUGCACCUGGUGGCGAGUGGCGGACGGGUGAGUAAUACAUCGGAACGUGUCCAGAAGAGGGGGAUAACGCAUCGAAAGAUGUGCUAAUACCGCAUAUGCUCUGAGGAGGAAAGUAGGGGAUCGAAAGACCUUACGCUUUUGGAGCGGCCGAUGUCUGAUUAGCUAGUUGGUGGGGUAAGGGCCUACCAAGGCGACGAUCAGUAGUUGGUCUGAGAGGACGACCAGCCACACUGGGACUGAGACACGGCCCAGACUCCUACGGGAGGCAGCAGUGGGGAAUUUUGGACAAUGGGCGCAAGCCUGAUCCAGCAAUGCCGCGUGAGUGAAGAAGGCCUCGGUUGUAAG
This 399-nucleotide ribosomal RNA is filed under the name uncultured bacterium. RNAcentral's name for it is "bacterial SSU rRNA". It matches the Rfam family "Bacterial small subunit ribosomal RNA", at positions 30 to 429 of the family's 1533-position model. The record is from RNAcentral.